CCUACGGGAGGCAGCAGUAGGGAAUAUUGCUCAAUGGGGGAAACCCUGAAGCAGCAACGCCGCGUGGAGGAUGACGGUUUUCGGAUUGUAAACUCCUGUUGUUAGAGAAGAUAAUGACGGUAUCUAACGAAUAAGCACCGGCUAACUCCGUGCCAGCAGCCGCGGUAAUACGGAGGGUGCAAGCGUUACUCGGAAUUACUGGGGGUAAAGAGCGCGUAGGCGGGAUAGCAAGUCAGAUGUGAAAUCCUAUGGCUUAACCAUAGAACUGCAUUUGAAACUGUUAUUCUAGAGUAUGGGAGAGGUAGGUGGAAUUCUGGGUGUAGGGGUAAAAUGCGUAGAGAUUAAGAGGAAUACUCAUUGCGAAGGCGACCUGCUAGAACAUAACUGACGCUGAUGCGCGAAAGCGUGGGGAGCAAACAGGAUUAGAUACCCUUGUAGUC
Molecule: ribosomal RNA, 440 nt
Filed under: uncultured bacterium
Lineage: Bacteria
Description: partial 16S ribosomal RNA
Rfam family: Bacterial small subunit ribosomal RNA
Source: RNAcentral